This 399-nucleotide ribosomal RNA is filed under the name uncultured bacterium. RNAcentral's name for it is "partial 16S ribosomal RNA". It matches the Rfam family "Bacterial small subunit ribosomal RNA", at positions 360 to 774 of the family's 1533-position model. The record is from RNAcentral.
AAUAUUGCGCAAUGCGCGAAGGCCUGACGCAGCGACGCCGCGUGAGUUAUGAAGACCUUCGGGUCGUAAAACUCUGUCCUCAGGGAAGAAAAUUUGACGGUACAUGAGGAGGCAGCCCCUGCUAACUACGUGCCAGCAGCCGCGGUAAUACGUAGGGGGCGAGCGUUGUCCGGAAUUAUUGGGCGUAAAGGGUGCGUAGGCGGCCUUUUAAGACAGGUGUGAGAGCCCACGGAUUAAACGUGGGACUGCAUUUGAAACUGGAGGGCUUGAGUAUCGGAGAGGGUAGGGGAAUUCCCAGUGUAGCGGUGGAAUGCGUAGAUAUUGGGAGGAACACCAGUGGCGAAGGCGACUACCUGGACGAAAACUGACGCUGAGGCACGAAAGCUAGGGGAGCAAACA